UGUCCAAAAGGAAGAAGAGAAUAAAGUUUUUUGUUUUCUUGGGAAAAAAAUGAAUAUUAAUAUCAAAUACAUUAGGAUUUGAAUUAAAAUUAUUCGAAUAACUGUAAUGAAACUUACUCUUUUUUUUUAUCGGAGAACGGACAUGGUUCGACGUGGGAGAACUCAAGAGUCAAACUUUACAUUGCUUUUCGGGUUCUUCUCCAUUU
Arabidopsis thaliana (thale cress) is the source of this 206-nucleotide long non-coding RNA. RefSeq annotates it as other RNA. The record is from RefSeq. The transcript has a single exon. NCBI's taxonomy places the organism in Eukaryota, Viridiplantae, Streptophyta, Magnoliopsida, Brassicales, Brassicaceae.